Molecule: ribosomal RNA, 189 nt
Filed under: uncultured bacterium
Lineage: Bacteria
Description: partial 16S ribosomal RNA
Rfam family: Bacterial small subunit ribosomal RNA
Source: RNAcentral
CCUACGGGAGGCAGCAGUGAGGAAUAUUGGUCAAUGGGCGAGAGCCUGAACCAGCCAAGUAGCGUGAAGGAAGACUGCCCUAUGGGUUGUAAACUUCUUUUGUAUGGGAAUAAAGUCCACUACGUGUAGUGGUUUGUAUGUACCUUACGAAUAAGCAUCGGCUAAUUCCGUGCCAGCAGCCGCGGUAAU